UACGUAGGGGGCAAGCGUUGUCCGGAUUUAUUGGGCGUAAAGAGCGUGUAGGCGGUGUGUCGCGUCGGCCGUGAAAACCUGCAGCUUAACUGUGGGCUUGCGGUCGAUACGGGCAUCACUGGAGUUCGGCAGGGGAGACUGGAAUUCCUGGUGUAGCGGUGAAAUGCGCAGAUAUCAGGAGGAACACCGGUGGCGAAGGCGGGUCUCUGGGCCGAUACUGACGCUGAGGAGCGAAAGCGUGGGGAGCGAACAGG
This 254-nucleotide ribosomal RNA is filed under the name uncultured bacterium. Its description in RNAcentral is "partial 16S ribosomal RNA". It matches the Rfam family "Bacterial small subunit ribosomal RNA", at positions 524 to 776 of the family's 1533-position model. The record is from RNAcentral.